Molecule: long non-coding RNA, 1715 nt
Organism: Homo sapiens (human)
Lineage: Eukaryota; Metazoa; Chordata; Mammalia; Primates; Hominidae
Gene: TEX14BP
Product: testis expressed 14B, pseudogene
Source: Ensembl
GGGGCUGUGUUGGGGAAGGGGAUGCUACUGCGCAGGCGCUGCGGGAGGCCACUGGUGCUCAAGCACCUCGGAUUCCCGCUCAUACAGCCGGCCGGAUCAUGUGGCAGUCAGGUGGCGACCACUAUCUAGCCCAACGUUGCUGGAGUUGUUGCAGCUCUGCCGGGCCCACAUAUCAGCGUUCGUGCAUGACGGUGAGUUGCCACCCAUGGCAUCUCUGGACCAGUUGCAGGCCAGAUUUGGGAACAGCCCGCCUGGCUCCCUGUCCUCCCUGAGGCUGAUGCAGGCAGACAGCCUCCUGUGGAUGGGUCACAAAAUGACUGUGCAGCAGCCGAAGGCCCCUGGAACCCAGACAGAUGUGCUACUGGCUGACCUUCAGCACUGCAGGCCCACUGGCGAGCUCACAGUGGCUUCAGCUCUCACACCGUGUAGCUGGUGCAGCCAGGCCUGGCUAAAGUGGGCCACCUGGAGCACAGGCGCCUCCUACGCCAGCGCUGGCUGCGGCCCAGGCAGCAGAAGGGCUACCCCUGGGGAGGCCCAGGCCCAGGGCUUCCCCCGCCCCCUGAACUACACCCAUGGCUGCCACUUCAGCUGAUCUGCGGUGACAUGCCCACCACCACCUCAGACCUCUACAGCUUCUGCAUCCUGAUCCAGGAGGUCUUCACUGAGAAACUGUACAUCAAGUGGCUCACAGAGCCAAGACCACACCCAGGCCUGUGGCCCCUGUGAUGUCCCCAGGCCCCAUCCCAUGCCAGGCCUGAGACUCCUGAGGUCAGAGACCACAGCAGGAUCCCAAGGGGUGCAGCCUGGAACUUGGGCAGCAGCUUGACUCUAGGCAGCAGCUCUGGGCCCAGCCCAGGACCCAGCCCUGGGUCUGGCCACAGCCCCACAGCCAGGGUCAGCCUGCACUGCUGCCUGGAGCCCAGCUCAACAGUACAGAUACCCCCAGAGCCCUGCACAACUGUCCCACUGCUAACCUGUGACCCCCUCCGCCCGCCCUCCAGGAGUCACCAACCCGAAGUUCCCUGGCUGCCUCUCCUUUGACCAGGGAACUUUAGGGUCGCCCAACUGUCCCCUCACUCACCUAUGACCCUUAACCAACCCUGCUUCCCCCAGGGCCCUUCCCUGCACUCCAACUCCAGCCUCUAGGACUCAGCCUCCCUGCUGGGGACCCAGAGCUCUGCGGAACAGUUUGAGGAAGCUCUCAGCCAAGAUUCCAGCCCUGCAGGGGCUGCUGCGGCGCACACACAGGGUUAUUCUGCUGGAGCCCCAGCCCUGUGAGCCCAUCCCCAGCCUGCUGACCCACAGGGAGGCUUCCCACACACUGGGAGGCUGCUGGCAGGGAAGGCCACGAGGGCAGGCUAAGCAGAGGACCCCGAGCUCAGCCUGUGCCCCAUCUGCCCUCCCAGGCCCGCUGGAGCACCAUGGCUACCAGGUGGCAGCUCCAGCCUUCUCUCCUGCAGGCACCCGGUACUGAGCUGACUAGAGGAGGUCUCUUCUCCAGCCUGCAGAAGAUGGACCUGCUGGAGGAGAUCAUAGCAGAGCUACAAAAAGGAUGUCAGCUUGGAGAAAAGCCCAGCCUGAGCCCCACUCCUGACCUAGACUCCCAGGGUGCCCAUGGUUCCCCUCUCUGCAGAUACCACCUCUCAGAGGCUCCCAGGAGUAACUCCUGCCUUGGUGCCUCCCCAAAAGGAAAUAGAAUGAUAAAGUGCCCCCUC